GUUAUCUGAACCUUCGGGGNNNGAUAACGGCGUCGAGCGGCGGACGGGUGAGUAAUGCCUAGGAAAUUGCCCUGAUGUGGGGGAUAACCAUUGGAAACGAUGGCUAAUACCGCAUAAUGCCUACGGGCCAAAGAGGGGGACCUUCGGGCCUCUCGCGUCAGGAUAUGCCUAGGUGGGAUUAGCUAGUUGGUGAGGUAAUGGCUCACCAAGGCGACGAUCCCUAGCUGGUCUGAGAGGAUGAUCAGCCACACUGGAACUGAGACACGGUCCAGACUCCUACGGGAGGCAGCAGUGGGGAAUAUUGCACAAUGGGCGCAAGCCUGAUGCAGCCAUGCCGCGUGUGUGAAGAAGGCCUUCGGGUUGUAAAGCACUUUCAGUCGUGAGGAAGGUAGUGUAGUUAAUAGCUGCAUUAUUUGACGUUAGCGACAGAAGAAGCACCGGCUAACUCCGUGCCAGCAGCCGCGGUAAUACGGAGGGUGCGAGCGUUAAUCGGAAUUACUGGGCGUAAAGCGCAUGCAGGUGGUUUGUUAAGUCAGAUGUGAAAGCCCGGGGCUCAACCUCGGAAUAGCAUUUGAAACUGGCAGACUAGAGUACUGUAGAGGGGGGUAGAAUUUCAGGUGUAGCGGUGAAAUGCGUAGAGAUCUGAAGGAAUACCGGUGGCGAAGGCGGCCCCCUGGACAGAUACUGACACUCAGAUGCGAAAGCGUGGGGAGCAAACAGGAUUAGAUACCCUGGUAGUCCACGCCGUAAACGAUGUCUACUUGGAGGUUGUGGCCUUGAGCCGUGGCUUUCGGAGCUAACGCGUUAAGUAGACCGCCUGGGGAGUACGGUCGCAAGAUUAAAACUCAAAUGAAUUGACGGGGGCCCGCACAAGCGGUGGAGCAUGUGGUUUAAUUCGAUGCAACGCGAAGAACCUUACCUACUCUUGACAUCCAGAGAACUUUCCAGAGAUGGAUUGGUGCCUUCGGGAACUCUGAGACAGGUGCUGCAUGGCUGUCGUCAGCUCGUGUUGUGAAAUGUUGGGUUAAGUCCCGCAACGAGCGCAACCCUUAUCCUUGUUUGCCAGCGAGUAAUGUCGGGAACUCCAGGGAGACUGCCGGUGAUAAACCGGAGGAAGGUGGGGACGACGUCAAGUCAUCAUGGCCCUUACGAGUAGGGCUACACACGUGCUACAAUGGCGCAUACAGAGGGCAGCAAGCUAGCGAUAGUGAGCGAAUCCCAAAAAGUGCGUCGUAGUCCGGAUUGGAGUCUGCAACUCGACUCCAUGAAGUCGGAAUCGCUAGUAAUCGUGGAUCAGAAUGCCACGGUGAAUACGUUCCCGGGCCUUGUACACACCGCCCGUCACAC
RNAcentral lists this ribosomal RNA (1347 nucleotides) under Vibrio owensii. RNAcentral's name for it is "bacterial SSU rRNA". It matches the Rfam family "Bacterial small subunit ribosomal RNA", at positions 66 to 1402 of the family's 1533-position model. The record is from RNAcentral. Lineage: Bacteria; Pseudomonadati; Pseudomonadota; Gammaproteobacteria; Vibrionales; Vibrionaceae.